AACGAACGCUGGCGGCAUGCCUAACACAUGCAAGUCGAACGGGAACUUCGGGUCGACUGCCGCCGGGGGGCGAAACGCGUGGGAACACGUCCUUACGUUCGCAGUAACUCCCCGAAAGGGGUGCUAAUAUCGGCUAAUGUCUCCUGCGCAAAGAUUUGUCGCGCUUGGAUUGGCCCGCGUUUGCUCAUCUCGUUGGUCGGGUGAAAGCCUACCAAGGCGACGAUCAAUAGCUGGUCUGAGAGGAUGAUCAGCCACACUGGGACUGAGACACGGCCCAGACUCCUACGGGAGGCAGCAGUGGGGAAUAUUGGACAAUGGGCGAAAGCCUGAUCCAGCAAUGCCGCGUGAGUGAUGAAGGCCUUAGGGUUGUAAAGCUCUUUUACCCGGGAGGAUAAUGACGGUACCGGGAGAAUAAGCUCCGGCUAACUCCGUG
Molecule: ribosomal RNA, 433 nt
Filed under: uncultured bacterium
Lineage: Bacteria
Description: partial 16S ribosomal RNA
Rfam family: Bacterial small subunit ribosomal RNA
Source: RNAcentral